RNAcentral lists this ribosomal RNA (250 nucleotides) under uncultured prokaryote. Its description in RNAcentral is "partial 16S ribosomal RNA". It matches the Rfam family "Bacterial small subunit ribosomal RNA", at positions 524 to 773 of the family's 1533-position model. The record is from RNAcentral.
UACGUAGGUAGCAAGCGUUGUCCGGAAUGACUGGGCGUAAAGGGUGCGUAGGCGGUUUAUCAAGUUAGCAGUGAAAUUCCGAGGCUUAACUUCGGCGCUACUGCUAAGACUGACGAACUUGAGUACAGGAGAGGUAAGUGGAAUUCCUAGUGUAGCGGUGGAAUGCGUAGAUAUUAGGAGGAACACCGGAGGCGAAAGCGACUUACUGGCCUGCAACUGACGCUGAGGCACGAAAGCGUGGGGAGCAAAC